UACGGAGGAUCCACGCGUUAUCCGGAAUCAUUGGGUUUAAAGGGUCCGUAGGCGGUUUAAUAAGUCAGUGGUGAAAGCCCAUCGCUCAACGGUGGAACGGCCAUUGAUACUGUUAAACUUGAAUUAUUAGGAAGUAACUAGAAUAUGUAGUGUAGCGGUGAAAUGCUUAGAGAUUACAUGGAAUACCAAUUGCGAAGGCAGGUUACUACUAAUGGAUUGACGCUGAUGGACGAAAGCGUGGGUAGCGAACAGG
Molecule: ribosomal RNA, 253 nt
Filed under: uncultured bacterium
Lineage: Bacteria
Description: partial 16S ribosomal RNA
Rfam family: Bacterial small subunit ribosomal RNA
Source: RNAcentral